CUCUGGCAGUGACGGACAUCGGACUUCAACAGCGACCUGAAGGUUACAGUCUACAAUCAUCAUCGUCUCCGUGUGGAAGCAAGAUGAAGGCCAGUGUCAUCGUCCUCCUGGCGCUCCUUUUCGUCGUCAUGGUGACAGCCACUCCUAAUGGUGGGUCAGACGACCAGCAGCAAGAAGUGAGCAGACGACAGCCAUCACCGGCAGCAGCAGCCGAGGCGAAGGCAGAAAACAAACGUCUGGUUUGGAACGGUAUGGGCUUUAUCCCCGGGAUGACAGCUGGCUGAACUCAGCCACGUACCCUGUCGACGACUGCCGUACCCACGUACCCUGUCGAUCAACGGCCCAACGGUGACGUCACCCAAUAAGUUUCAAUAAAACUGCAGAAAAAAAA
Pomacea canaliculata is the source of this 391-nucleotide long non-coding RNA. RefSeq lists it as uncharacterized. The transcript is spliced from 2 exons. Lineage: Eukaryota; Metazoa; Mollusca; Gastropoda; Architaenioglossa; Ampullariidae. The record is from RefSeq and is a predicted model, not a curated record.